This 253-nucleotide ribosomal RNA is filed under the name uncultured bacterium. RNAcentral's name for it is "partial 16S ribosomal RNA". It matches the Rfam family "Bacterial small subunit ribosomal RNA", at positions 524 to 776 of the family's 1533-position model. The record is from RNAcentral.
UACGGAGGGUGCAAGCGUUAAUCGGAAUUACUGGGCGUAAAGCGUGCGUAGGCGGUUUGUUUAGUCAGAUGUGAAAGCCCCGGGCUCAACCUGGGAACUGCAUUUGAUACUGGCAGACUAGAGUAUGGUAGAGGGGGGUAGAAUUCCUGGUGUAGCGGUGAAAUGCGUAGAUAUCAGGAGGAAUACCAGUGGCGAAGGCGGCCUCCUGGACUAACACUGACGCUGAGGUACGAAAGCGUGGGGAUCAAACAGG